UUUGUCAUUACCCAUUUACCAAUUAAUUUCUCAUUCGUCAUUUCUUAGAUUUGAUAAAUGAAAACUGGUAAAUAAUUCGGAAAAUGAUAAAUGGAAAAUGAACAAUUUAGGGUUUCCGUGAGAAUACACGAGCGGCGGACGGCUGAGUAACGCGUAGGAACGUACCCCAAAGUGAGGGAUAAGCACCAGAAAUGGUGUCUAAUACCGCAUGUGCUCCACGGAGUAAAGCUUUAUGCGCUUUGGGAACGGCCUGCGUCUGAUUAGCUUGAUGGUGAGGUAAAAGCUCACCAUGGCGACGAUCAGUAGCUGGUCUGAGAGGAUGAUCAGCCAGACUGGGACUGAGAACGGCCCAGACUCCUACGGGAGGCAGCAGUAGGGAAUUUUCCACAAUGGGCGAAAGCCAGAUGGAGCAACGCCGCGUGCAGGAUGAAGGCCUUCGGGUUGUAAACUGCUUUUCUCUGUGACGAUUUUGACGGUAGCAGAAGAAUAUGGAUCGGCUAACUCCGUGCCAGCAGCCGCGGUCAUACGGAGGAUCCAAGCGUUAUCCGGAAUUACUGGGCGUAAAGAGUUGCGUAGUGCAUAGUAAGCAAUUGUGAAAUCGUGUGCUCAACCACAU
Molecule: ribosomal RNA, 616 nt
Filed under: uncultured bacterium
Lineage: Bacteria
Description: bacterial SSU rRNA
Rfam family: Bacterial small subunit ribosomal RNA
Source: RNAcentral